This 708-nucleotide long non-coding RNA is filed under the name Equus caballus (horse). Its description in RNAcentral is "lncRNA (ENSECAG00000055459.1)". The record is from RNAcentral. Lineage: Eukaryota; Metazoa; Chordata; Mammalia; Perissodactyla; Equidae.
AGGACACCAUGAUUGGUCAGAUCUCGGUCACAUGACUACCUUAGUUGCCAGGAUGGUCAGGGACUCUGACCAGAAGAAGGGAAAUGGGGAGGACCGUUCAGAGAAGCCGAAACCAGCAGAUACCCAGACCGACAAACAUUGCUGCCAUGUGAGGAAGCAGAUACAAACCCCUGUUGCCCUGCGAUGCUUCCUCCAUUCACAGAACAUCCAGGGUGGCCAGCAUCCUGCCUCAGAGGAGGGAUGGCACAGCUCUGACAGCUCUGAACACAGAGACCAGAAGAGUCAAAAGACCCUGGGUGAAUGCAUAGUAAUGCAUGAAGGACUACACAGCAGUGACCUGUAUGGACGGAAGACAAGACCAGAUGGGACCACACAUAGCACAGCGGGAACCAGCGGAGACAAAUGACAGCGCUAAGACCAAACACGUGACUUCAACAAGAUCCCAGAGGAGGAAGAACAGCCAUCUGACGGACGUUCAGUUUCUACCGUCUGAGUCAAGCCCAGUUCCAUCAUCUUCUAAACUCUACUUCUUACAUUCCUGAGAUUUGAGAUGAGGUUUGUGCCCACCACAUAACUGGGGCCUCCCUUCUUGUUCCCGGGACCCCCGGGCCCAGCUUCCACUUCUCCAGCUGUACCCAGCUGUCCUCAGGCCGAGCAGGGACUGGAUUUCUGGGAGAAUCAGCGCUGCAUCCCAGGUCUCACUGCCCC